Molecule: ribosomal RNA, 389 nt
Filed under: uncultured bacterium
Lineage: Bacteria
Description: bacterial SSU rRNA
Rfam family: Bacterial small subunit ribosomal RNA
Source: RNAcentral
CGAACGCUGGCGGCGUGCUUAACACAUGCAAGUCGAGCGGUAAGGCCCUUUCGGGGGUACACGAGCGGCGAACGGGUGAGUAACACGUGGGUGACCUGCCCUCAGCUCUGGGAUAAGCCUGGGAAACUGGGUCUAAAUACCGGAUAUGACUCCAUGACGCAUGUUGUGGGGUGGAAAGCCUUGUGCGGCUGAGGAUGGGCCCGCGGCCUAUCAGCUUGUUGGUGGGGUGAUGGCCUACCAAGGCGACGACGGGUAGCCGGCCUGAGAGGGCGACCGGCCACACUGGGACUGAGACACGGCCCAGACUCCUACGGGAGGCAGCAGUGGGGAAUCUUGCGCAAUGGGCGAAAGCCUGACGCAGCGACGCCGCGUGAGGGAUGACGGCCUGG